This 1441-nucleotide long non-coding RNA is filed under the name Equus caballus (horse). RNAcentral's name for it is "lncRNA (ENSECAG00000052187.1)". The record is from RNAcentral. Lineage: Eukaryota; Metazoa; Chordata; Mammalia; Perissodactyla; Equidae.
AGAGAAAGUAAGGUAGUGCUUUAUGGCAAUGAGACAAGGAUAAGUGGUUAUUAAAGAGAAUCAUAUCCUGGAGAUGCAGUACUGUAGGGGUCCAAGCACAGGCUCUGGAAUCAGGUUGCCUGGAUUCACAUCCCAUCAGAUACUUACUAGGCCUGCAAUCUUGGGCACUGUACUGGAUGCUGAGGAUUUGGAGAUAAUAAUAAUGAUGAUGCCUAACAUUGGGUACCAGGCCCUGGGAUCAGCAUCUUCACGCAUCAUCCUAUUUAAUCCUAACUAUGUGAGUUUGACAACAACCUUGGAAGGUCAACAGAGUGGAAAUCGUUAGCCCCAUUUUACAGUUGAGGAAACUGAGACUAAGGGAGACCCAGUGACUUUUCCAGCAAGGACCCAAACGUCAAUGCAUUCAAAUCUCAAAUGAUGGUCCUUUGAGUCCAGGUCCAAGGGCUGUUUCUACUCUUGCACAGCUGCUGUUGAAAAUGCGAAGUUAGGUGGGAAUUUGUGCUGUUUGAACCCCGCAGUCAUUUGCCUUGAUCUGGAGGCUGGGACGUCCGAGAUCAAGAUGCCAGUAGAUUCGGUGCCUGAUGGAGCUCAGAAAGAUCAAGUAGCAGAUCCAUAGUCAUAUCUCGGUUAGACGGUCCAGGUGGCCGCAGACUCUGCAUCUCUCACCAGCUCCCGGGUGAUGCUGAUGUUGCUGCUCCUGAGACACCAUGAUGAGCAGCGAGGAUCUCGGCGGUGGACCUGGCCCUGACCAAAAUGACUUGGUGUCCUUGGGAGCGAUGGGUUUGCCUCUCAACAUGACACACCUGGUCUACCCUGGCCUGGUCUGGCUGCGGAGCGGCACGCCCCGGCCGUGGAAGCUCAGACAGCAGCUGCACAAGCCUGCUUCCUCCACCAGUUUCUCAGGAGGGGACCCUGCCUCCCAACUGCUUAAGCUGCUCCCGGUCAGAGCGAAUGGAUCAUGAUUUAAUGAAGAGAGCCAUCUGUUACAGGGUAAAAAUCCUAAUUAAGCAAUAUAUGAAUCAGAACAGAAUUAGCCAUCAAGUCGUCAGAGUUCUGUAACCGCGGAGAGGAACACGGCGUCGUUGCCACAUGGAAUAGUCUUCCUCUAAGGAAACGCAAGACUGCAAAGGGAACCCCACUCCGUCCCCUGGGAGGAUGCAGCCCCGACAGCAGGGGUCAGAUUCUGGGGCAUUAACUGAAAUGGACAACGGCUUCCUGAGGAACCCUGGUGUCCUGAGUAAUGAACACCCCUGCUGUUUGUCCGGCAUGUCAGUUUGCCAAAUGCUUUCCCACCCAGGAGUACCUUGAACCCUCUGCCACUCACCCCCGUGGAUGGGGCUGAUGAUCACGGCCAUAGGGUCAGUGAAUCACUCAAGAGCCCACAGCCAGAAAGGAGACAAGUCAAGCCCAGAAUGCAGGCCAUUGGCCUCCACAUCCUGCC